This 440-nucleotide ribosomal RNA is filed under the name uncultured bacterium. RNAcentral's name for it is "partial 16S ribosomal RNA". It matches the Rfam family "Bacterial small subunit ribosomal RNA", at positions 339 to 795 of the family's 1533-position model. The record is from RNAcentral.
CUACGGGUGGCAGCAGUGAGGAAUAUUGCACAAUGGGGGGAACCCUGAUGCAGCAACGCCGCGUGGAGGAUAACGCAUUUCGGUGUGUAAACUCCUUUUAUAUGUCAAGAAAAUGACGGUAGCAUAUGAAUAAGCACCGGCUAACUCCGUGCCAGGCAGCCGCGGUAAUACGGAGGGUGCAAGCGUUACUCGGAAUCACUGGGCGUAAAGGACGCGUAGGCGGGUUGGAAAGUCAGGUGUGAAAUCCUACAGCUUAACUGUAGAACUGCACUUGAAACUUCUAAUCUAGAGUAUGGGAGGGGGAGAUGGAAUUAGUGGUGUAGGGGUAAAAUCCGUAGAUAUCACUAGGAAUACCUAAAGCGAAGGCGAUCCCCUGGAACAUUACUGACGCUAAGGCGUGAAAGCGUGGGGAGCAAACAGGAUUAGAUACCCCUGUAGUC